Molecule: ribosomal RNA, 468 nt
Filed under: uncultured bacterium
Lineage: Bacteria
Description: partial 16S ribosomal RNA
Rfam family: Bacterial small subunit ribosomal RNA
Source: RNAcentral
GACGAACGCUGGCGGCGUGCUUAACACAUGCAAGUCGAACGGAAAGGCCCUGCUUUUGUGGGGUGCUCGAGUGGCGAACGGGUGAGUAACACGUGAGUAACCUGCCCUUGACUUUGGGAUAACUUCAGGAAACUGGGGCUAAUCCCGGAUAGGAGCUCCUGCUGCAUGGUGGGGGUUGGAAAGUUUCGGCGGUUGGGGAUGGACUCGCGGCUCAUCAGCUUGUUGGUUGGGUAGUGGCUUACCAAGGCUUUGACGGGUAGCCGGCCUGAGAGGAGGACCGGCCACAUUGGGACUGGGAUACGGCCCAGACUCGUACGGGAGGCAACAGUGGGGAAUAUUGCACAGUGGGCGGGAGCCUGGUGCAGCAACGCCGCGUGCGGGAUGACGGCCUUCGGGUAGUGAACCGCAUUCGCCUGUGACGAAGCGUGAGUGACGGUAAUGGGUGAAGAAGCACCGGCUAACUACGUG